CUUUCAACAAAGGUUUGAUGCUGCUCCAGACCCUGAAGGAAUAUGAAACUAAAAAUGGUGCUUGGGGAGGCUUAUCAGGUUUUAAGUGAUCCUGGAAAACGUGAGACAUAUGAUAAGCAUGGAAAUUAGAAAGCAAGGCCUUUCACGGCAAGCGUGGCAGCCGUGGAAAUCGAUGAAGAAUCAUAAGUCCAGAAGUAAAGAGCCUACAAGUUGAAGAGAGGAUUAAGGCGUUACAAAGAGAAAGAGAAGAGAAGUUUAUCGAACAUCUCAUAAAGCGCCUACAGCCAUGUGUUGAGGGUAAACUAGAUGAAUUUGUUAAAUGGGCAAAUUCUGAGGCCAGUCGUUUGUCACGAGCAGGUAGACCUAGUUUCCCUUAUCCAUACUUAACACAAAAGUUUACUUAUUAAUUUUGGGCUCUCCAUCUGUUCCAUUUCUUCACAAGACGAUUGAAUCUUUUCUUUGAACCCAUUUCAUGCUAUCAUUGUUUAUAUGGGAAGUUUUGGAAUGUCCUGAAGAUUGAUCAUACUAUGAACUAUUUACAAGAGGACUCCAAAAUGAUCCUAAGUAGUUGAGGCGAGGUCUUGUACUCUUAUUGUUGCUGAUGCAGUCAAAUUGUCGUUAUUCUGCUCUCAUCUUCCUCAUUGUAGUUUGUUAUACUGGUAAUAAGUGAGUGAGGGUGUUGGCAUUGCUUAUUGGUUAUUAAAAAAAAAAAGUGUUCUGUGGAAUUCUGGAUGUUUGGGUAAUCGAUUCGAGAAAAUACUUUUAAGAAGAGCAAAAUGCAAAACCAAGAAAGCACAAAAAAAAGUAGCAUGGAGAAGUCAGAUUCUUUGGCUUCUCUCAACCGUGGAAGCGGAAAUCCAUUCGGGUAAUGAAUCAUAUCUAAACUUCUCUCUUAUUUUAUACUCUCCAUUUUUGCCUCAUAGACCUUAUCUAAACGUUCUCUCAUAUAUCCAUUCUUAUCUAAACUUCUCCAAACAAAUAUAUUUUACAAUAUUUAACUUUCUUGUAGGUACCUAAAUUUGAAGGUUAAGAACAUCUUAUCCUUAUAAAAUAUUUUCUUAAAAGUACUUUUGGAGAAGUCCUUCUACAAAAGAACUUAUCUAUAAGCAAAAGCUAAGCCAGCUUUUGGGGAGACAAUGCUUCAUACUAUUGGAUAUAUUUAUUCAAAACAGGCUUCUAGAGCGCUUGGAAAGAAAAUUAUUUUGAUGGAUGUCCCAUUUAUAGCUGAGUGGGUUCGUGAUAAAGG
Long non-coding RNA from Asparagus officinalis (garden asparagus), 1246 nucleotides. RefSeq lists it as uncharacterized. The transcript is spliced from 5 exons. The record is from RefSeq and is a predicted model, not a curated record. NCBI's taxonomy places the organism in Eukaryota, Viridiplantae, Streptophyta, Magnoliopsida, Asparagales, Asparagaceae.